GACGAACGCUGGCGGCGUGCUUAACACAUGCAAGUCGAACGAUGAAAGCGGGAGCUUGCUCCUGCUGGAUUAGUGGCGAACGGGUGAGUAACACGUGAGCAAUCUGCCCCGAACUCUGGGAUAAGCGUUGGAAACGACGUCUAAUACCGGAUACGACGCGCGAAGGCAUCUUCUGCGCGUGGAAAGAAUUUCGGUUCGGGAUGAGCUCGCGGCCUAUCAGCUAGUUGGUGAGGUAAUGGCUCACCAAGGCGACGACGGGUAGCCGGCCUGAGAGGGUGACCGGCCACACUGGGACUGAGACACGGCCCAGACUCCUACGGGAGGCAGCAGUGGGGAAUAUUGCACAAUGGGCGCAAGCCUGAUGCAGCAACGCCGCGUGAGGGACGACGGCC
This 392-nucleotide ribosomal RNA is filed under the name uncultured bacterium. RNAcentral's name for it is "bacterial SSU rRNA". It matches the Rfam family "Bacterial small subunit ribosomal RNA", at positions 28 to 416 of the family's 1533-position model. The record is from RNAcentral.